Molecule: microRNA precursor, 145 nt
Filed under: Pelodiscus sinensis (Chinese soft-shelled turtle)
Lineage: Eukaryota; Metazoa; Chordata; Testudines; Trionychidae
Description: microRNA 10b (ENSPSIG00000020121.1)
Rfam family: mir-10 microRNA precursor family (bases 24-98)
About the family: In this case the mature sequence comes from the 5' arm of the precursor. The extents of the hairpin precursors are not generally known and are estimated based on hairpin prediction. The products are thought to have regulatory roles through complementarity to mRNA.
Source: RNAcentral
AAAACAGAAUGUUAUUACGUUGUCUAUAUAUACCCUGUAGAACCGAAUUUGUGUGGUAUUCACAUAGUCACAGAUUCGAUUCUAGGGGAAUAUAUGGUCGAUGCAAAAACUUCACCUUUCUGCAAAUGGUUAGAAUUUUAAAUAU